UACGAAGGGGGCUAGCGUUGUUCGGAAUUACUGGGCGUAAAGGGCGCGUAGGCGGUUGCUCAAGUCAGGCGUGAAAGCCCCGGGCUCAACCUGGGAAUAGCGCUUGAGACUGGGCGGCUUGAGUUCGGGAGAGGUGAGUGGAAUUCCCAGUGUAGAGGUGAAAUUCGUAGAUAUUGGGAAGAACACCGGGUGGCGAAGGCAGAUCUCUGGGCCGUAACUGACGCUGAGGAGCGAAAGCAUGGGGAGCGAACAGG
RNAcentral lists this ribosomal RNA (254 nucleotides) under uncultured bacterium. RNAcentral describes it as "partial 16S ribosomal RNA". It matches the Rfam family "Bacterial small subunit ribosomal RNA", at positions 524 to 776 of the family's 1533-position model. The record is from RNAcentral.